This 246-nucleotide long non-coding RNA is filed under the name Rosa chinensis. RNAcentral describes it as "sRNA RchiOBHm_Chr3g0484081". Lineage: Eukaryota; Viridiplantae; Streptophyta; Magnoliopsida; Rosales; Rosaceae. The record is from RNAcentral.
UAAGCACUUGGAAUGUUGCUGGAAGAGUUCCGGAUGAAAACCUUGAUAUUGAUGAUUGGAUUUCUUCAGAAGAGCCAUCGGAUAUCUUCAUUUUCGGGUCAGUACUUUCUAUCUUCCUUUUCAUAAUCAACCUAGGCACAUACUUUCAGUACUUUCUAUCCCAGAAAGGUAUAGUUAAGUUAAUCAACAGAUUGUGUUAUGGAUGCUAGGAUAGGAUUGUCUUGUAAGGUCAAUGUCUUUUUGUGA